Molecule: ribosomal RNA, 164 nt
Filed under: uncultured bacterium
Lineage: Bacteria
Description: partial 16S rRNA
Rfam family: Bacterial small subunit ribosomal RNA
Source: RNAcentral
UAGGGAAUCUUCCACAAUGGACGAAAGUCUGAUGGUGCAACGCCGCGUGAGUGAAGAAGGGUUUCGGCUCGUAAAACUCUGUUGUUAAAGAAGAACAUAUCUGAGAGUAACUGUUCAGGUAUUGACGGUAUUUAACCAGAAAGCCACGGCUAACUACGUGCCAG